Molecule: ribosomal RNA, 440 nt
Filed under: uncultured bacterium
Lineage: Bacteria
Description: bacterial SSU rRNA
Rfam family: Bacterial small subunit ribosomal RNA
Source: RNAcentral
UCCUACGGGGGGCAGCAGUGGGGAAUUUUGCACAAUGGGCGCAAGCCUGAUGCAGCAACGCCGCGUGCGGGAUGAAGGCCCUCGGGUUGUAAACCGCUUUCAGCAGGGAUGAAAAUGACAGUACCUGCAGAAGAAGCCCCGGCUAACUACGUGCCAGCAGCCGCGGUAAUACGUAGGGGGCAAGCGUUAUCCGGAUUCAUUGGGCGUAAAGAGCGCGUAGGCGGUUUGUUAAGCGAGAUGUGAAAACCGGGGGCUCAACCCGCGGCCUGCAUCUCGAACUGGCAGACUUGAGUCUGGUAGAGGAAAGUGGAAUUCCAGGUGUAGCGGUGAAAUGCGCAGAUAUCUGGAGGAACACCAGUGGCGAAGGCGGCUUUCUGGGCCACGACUGACGCUGAGGCGCGAAAGCUAGGGGAGCGAACAGGAUUAGAUACCCUGGUAGC